UGCUGAGCUGGAGAGGAGAAGCUCCAAGGAGAGCUCAGAGCCCCCUCCAGGGCCUGCAGGGGCUCCAGGAGAGCUGGAGAGGGACUGGGGACAAGGCCUGGAGGGACAGGACCCAGGGAAUGGCUUGAGAUUGGCAAAGGGGAGAUUUGGGUGGGAUCUUGGGCAGGAAUUGUUCCCUGGGAGGGUGGGGAGGGGCUGGGCUGGAAUUGCCAGAGCAGCUGUGGCUGUCCCUGGAUCCCUGGCAGUGCCCAAGGCCAGGCUGGACAUUGGGGCUGGAGCAGCCUGGGACAAUGGGGGUGACCCUGGGGACAGUGGGGGUGACCCUGGGGACAGUGGGGGUGACCCUGGGGACAGUGGAGGUGACCCUGGGGACAUGAGGGUGUCCCUGGGACAGUGGGGGUGACCCUGGGACAGUGGGAGGUGACCCUGGGGACAGUGGGGGUGACCCUGGGGACAGUGGAGGUGUCCCUGCCAUGGCUGGGGUGG
This is a long non-coding RNA of Poecile atricapillus (Black-capped chickadee), 486 nucleotides long. RefSeq lists it as uncharacterized. The transcript has 3 exons. The record is from RefSeq and is a predicted model, not a curated record. NCBI's taxonomy places the organism in Eukaryota, Metazoa, Chordata, Aves, Passeriformes, Paridae.